Molecule: non-coding RNA, 69 nt
Organism: Ictidomys tridecemlineatus (thirteen-lined ground squirrel)
Lineage: Eukaryota; Metazoa; Chordata; Mammalia; Rodentia; Sciuridae
Source: Rfam
GGAGUUGUGGCUCAGUGGUAGAGCACUUGCCUAGCAUGUGUGAGAAGCUGGGUUCAAUUCUCAGCACCA